CUAAAGCAGAAAUUGCAACCAGCCGGAUGCUACCCGGAAAAAAAUUUUUUGGUGUAGGUCACUCAACAGCCGAAUGUUUGCAGAACCUCCAUGCCUUCUGACGGUGCUACAGGCUGCUGGUUCUAAAUGUAAUUUGGACAAAUCAUUGUAAUUAGGGUUCCAGUGUCACUCCUUAAAACAUUUAUUGACUGACAGCUGUUCGGAAGAUUUCCAUUUUCAAGCGUGCACUGCACCACAAGGGGUGGAGGUCUGUCCAGUACAAGGUCAGCCGUGCAUGGACAGAGUUGGUCAUUGUGUCUCAACACCAAGUCAGUGGAGGUGUGCACAAUGUAGAGGCGUCAGCUUCAGAAGCAAUGGAUGACUGCUGGUACAUGCUUAGGGUGCUGGCCAAACCCAUGGACCCAGAUGGUGGAGCCUGGAUGGAAUCACUGUGAAGCAGGUGUCAACUGGUCACAUCACAUCAGCCGGAGCAGAUUUAAAAGUGAAUAGGGCUGGAGCUGUACAGCAGCUCCGGUGGGCUCUGGUUCCCAACUGGAGUGAACGUGUAUGAACUCAAGAACAUAUGAAGGGCUUCCUCGGGAGAAGAUUGAGUGAUAUAUUUUUUCAUCUGGGUUUUGAAUGUAAGGAUCAGCUACUCCACCUCUCCAUUAAACUGGGGAUGAUAGGGAGGGGCCAUAACAAUAGAGAGCUUAAACAAAUGGUUUUUCCAAUUUUCUUGACAGUUCACACCAUAGAUGUUUUAUCAUGAAACAGGCCCAGCGCUUACUAUAUUGUCACCUACGAGACACUAUACUGAU
Long non-coding RNA from Schistocerca nitens (vagrant locust), 797 nucleotides. RefSeq lists it as uncharacterized. Lineage: Eukaryota; Metazoa; Arthropoda; Insecta; Orthoptera; Acrididae. The transcript is spliced from 3 exons. The record is from RefSeq and is a predicted model, not a curated record.